Molecule: long non-coding RNA, 4501 nt
Filed under: Homo sapiens (human)
Lineage: Eukaryota; Metazoa; Chordata; Mammalia; Primates; Hominidae
Description: HSALNT0368991
Source: RNAcentral
GCAUGGUGUUGUACGGAAGCCAAAGCAAUUGGCUUUGCAUUUGGCCAGCUGAUUUAGCAAGAAAUUUCGCAAAUGAUGCAGUCCUUACAGAUGGUGCUGUUGGGUUUUUUAGAAUGUUUUAAAACACUGAUGGAUUUGACCAUGAACUGAAUUUCCAGUCUCUUAGAUUCACCUCCAGCCACCCCUUGACGAUCUCCAAGGCAACUGGAGACAAGGAGCAGACCUUUUCUGCAAACUUAUGAUGAAUGAUUUCCUUUAAAAACUACUCGCAUAAUAAAAAUGUUUUGGUGUAAACUUGGCCAAGGGGAACUCUUGAAACUUUCAGUUUCUUUGCCUAACUCUGAGUUGCUUGAGUCACAUUUUUGCAUGGUUCUUGAUUGACUUUCUGGUGCUCUGCCUGGAGGUCUUUGCUUAUCUGUGAGUUGCCUGAGUCACAUUUUUACAUGGUUCUGGUGCUCUGCCUGCAGGUCAAGAAGGAGCCAGUAUCUCCAGGAGGAGUGAGAGAGUGCUCUGCCAGUGUGAAGUGUGAAUCCUUGAGAGGCUGUGGCAAGGGUCCAUGCCUGAAUGUGUAGAACAAGAACAGCUGGAGGCUGUGGCUUUCUCCAGGAAGAGGUUUCUAAAUCUGCCUCUUAGAAGAUAUCAGAAAGUUAAAGUUUCUCUUGCUGCCGCCGUGUAAGAAGGACCUUUUGCCUCCCACCAUGAUUCUAAGUCCUCCCCAGCCACGUGGAACUAGCCAAGUAAUCUAAGAAAGGCAGAAUGACAGCUAGCCUGGGAAAUGGAAUAACAUCACUUCUGUCACAUUCCAUUGGCCAAACAUAUCAAACUUGAUACAGCAUGAGAGGGGACUAUACAAGAAUGUGGAUACCAGGAAAUGAGGAUCAGUGGGGACCAGCUUGGAGGCUGACAACAACAGGAGAUGAUAAUGAAUAGUGAAAAAUGCCAAGCAGACAAUAAGCAGAAGGAACAGAGGAAAUCCACAAACUGGAUAAUUGUUUCUUGAGUAACUGACCAUCAAUCUAGAUAGUGGUUGCAGUAAUUUCAAAUUCUUCUCUUCCUUUUCACUUCAGGUGAAUGAAACCUGUUUUCACCGAGAAUGAGCUUCUGUCUUGAUAGCUUUCAUUUGGUCUCUUUUCGAAUCAGAAGACCCAGAAAACUUGGAUCCACUUCUGGCUCUCAUCCCUCUGGGCAGUGUGAUUUGGAGUAAAGCAGCUACGGCUUAGAAAGGCUGAGGAACUUGCCUGAGGCUAUCCAGCUACUGAGAGAUAAACUGGGGUGUGAAUUCAGAGAGCUUGACUCCUGAGGCUCCACCUGUGCCUAUAAUUCCAGCAUGACACCUGGUAAUGGGCACUCAGUAUAUGCUUGUUGAUCUAAACUCAGUGUGUGUGUGUGUGUCUGUGUGUGUCUGUGUGUGUGUGUGUGUGUGUGUGUGUGUGUGUGGUCUUCCUCUCACAUCCAAAGCUACUAGCACUGAGGAAGUUGGGCAUGGUGUAGGAAAGAGAAAUCUUUGCUGUUAAAUCUCAUUUCCAGCAUAACUGUCAAUGGAGAGGUGGCAUGGAAGGGACAACCAGUUCGUGUACCAAAUUACUCUCAGCUUGCUUGUUGUCUUAGGCAUAUGUUCUGGGAGUGGCCAACACCUGUUUUACAUCUGUGUUAGUCUUUGCGGAAUAAAAAGCAAAUUAGGGUUUAAUGGGGACUAUUAAUCUUGUCACCUAAUUGAGUAGAUCUAAUAAAUCUUUUCAUUCAAAACCCAAUGGGAAUUUCUAGUUGGAAAUGAGUGUGGGGAAUAUUCAAUCUCAAAAAUAUUUUCAUACACAAAGAUUAUAUAUGAGUUUGUGAAAGAUGUUGAAUAUUCAAUGAAAUUUAAUGAGUAUGAAUUGAACACUUAUCCUGGGCCUAGAACUGUUGGCAGUUGCUUUUGAGAGUUACAGAGUACAUUUAUGGUAAUUACUGCACUUACGAAUUUUGCUAUGUGGUUUGGGAGUAUCUGAAGUAUCUUAUAGUAGGUCUCUAAACUGGUAAUAAUAAAAAGUUCAAAUAUAUUAUUUUGUUACACUCCACGAGGAUCAAACUUCAUCAUGACAUGAUUAUAAUUUGAAAUAUGAGUAAGAAAUACGUAGGGUCAUGAUCUCUAUAAGCCCAUUCUUUGCUUCUUAAUUAAAUUUUGCAGCUGAUAGAAACAUUGAAAGCAGAGCAUUAGCUUAUAAAUAAUUCAGAAAAUGGUUGGUAACUCCCAUAGUAUAUGUUUUAUGAGUUUUGUUUAAGAAGAGUCUAUUUCGUGUUAGGUAAAGUUGGCCAUUGUUUAGAAUAAAGACCUGCAUUACUUUCUAUUCUAAAUUAAACUGUUAAUGGGAGUGCUUGCAAAGGCCUUGGUGCUUUUUUUUCUGUUUAAUAGGAGCAACAUCACUUUGGAUCAAUUAUUUAAUUUCCUUAUGUCAGAGUUCUUUCAAUUUAAAGGAAAAUAUUUCCUUUCCUCAUUCCUUUUUCUCUGAGGAUGAACCAGACAUUGGAAGUUGUAGCCUGGGAUUGUACUGGAGCUCUCACUGUGGUUGCAUUCUUUCUUCACAUUCAGCGUCCUCCUUAAAGCACACAUUUUCACGUACAUCUAUUAAAUUACCUGGGAGAGAGUUCUAGACACUAUCAGUCAGUAAAUCCAGUUGUCUCAUUUUUCAGUUUUAGCUAUUGUUGCGGUCAUAUGCCAAGGCUUGUAUGAAUGAAGGGUCUAUAAAAAUAUCUGCUGUGGUGUGAUUUUUUUUAUCCUUGUAUGAGACCAUAGCAUGAGACAGUAGACUGGCAAAUUGGCAGGGCGAGGAGAGUGUUUGUGCUUACACGGGGCAAUGAAAAGAGUUUUGAUUCUUCUUUAGCUAAAUGUUAUAAAACUUUAAAGCUUACAUUUGAAUAAUCGUUGCAGAUGGGUUAGAUAAAAUCCAUCAACUCACAAUGUUUUUCCUGUUUCCAUUCACUAGUGAGUAACAAGGUUAAAAGAAGGAAUGUUCUAUAAAAUAAGAUAUAGAAUUUGGGUUAGGUUUACAAGUGAAGAGUUCCUCUUUGCCCUGCCCCCAAAUUAUUUUUAGGCCCCAGGCCUCUGAAGCCAAGGUAAUCUGCAGGGCAGCUUUCACAUUUUAUCACAAGUCAGUGGUCUCUCCUCUUCCUUGUCCCUCCUAUCUUGCCGGCAAAUGGCUCUGUGGGAAACCCAUUCUGCUUCCUGUUUAAACUGUAGAAACAAUUCAUUUAAUUCAAUAUCUAGCUUUUGAUUCUAUUUGCAAAAAUACAGUUGUAAAUAGUUCCAUUCAUUAGCCAAUUUUUUUUUUGGUCUGUUAAGCAUAUUUGGGUCAUUUUAUAGUUAACCUUGGCUGAGGGAGAGAAGUUCUUUGAAGCUCUUACUUACUUACUUGUGAAUUUUUGGGUCUGAUAUGGAGGCUUUGCAGGUCAGAAGCAUGGCUUGACUGACCCAAUGCCCAUUUCUGGCUCUCUUCAUCCUCGCUGACCUCUACAGUAGAGAAAGGAGAAGCUGAAUAUUCACUGCUCUAACCUCCCUUGAAGCAAGGGGUGGCCUUGUAACAGUUCUGGCCAAUGUGGCAUAAGCAGAAUUCUGCUGAGGUGGGUUUUGGGAACGGCUUUUGAUUUCCUAAUAAAAGAGGCCAGAACUGCAGGCACUAUUCUUUCCACCCCUCUUGGUCUUGAACAUGGCUACAAUGUCUGGAUCUAUAGCAGUCAGCUUGCAACUUUGAGACAAUAUGCCAAUCUAAAAAUGGUAGAGCAGAAUUAUAGAUGAACAGAUGAACCCUUGGUUUUUAUUAGAUCAUGGAGCCCCAUAUUAUACAGUACUGCUUCCCUUUAGACAUCAUACAUGAAAAAUAAAUCCCUUUGUGGUAGGUUUAAUACAAGGCCACAAAUUCUUUGACACUCCUCCCAGCAAAGUCUAAUUCACCCUCCCUUGAAUAUAGGCCAGCCUUACCCACUUGAUUCUAACUAGUAGAAUUCAGUAGAUGUGACACUGCAUGACUCUCCAUGCUAGGUUCACAAGUGAUGCGGUUUCUGCCUUUUUCUUCUCUCUGACAUGUGCCUUGGGAGCUUUGAGCUGACAUGUUAGAAGUCAGUCUACAUUGAAGCUGCCAUGCUGAAGAACUCAUGUGGGAGAACACACAGAAAUCGAGAUGCCUGAGGAGCCCCAGCUGUACCAGCCUCUAGCUCUCUGAGUCUUCUCAGCAAGAACUGUCAAACAUGAGAGUGAAGCAGCCUUCAGAUGACUCUGGCCCCAGUCUUCAAGUGCCCUAGCUGGUGCCAAGUGGAGCAGACAAGCUGCCACCCACCAAGCCCUUCCCAAAUUGCAGACUAGGAACAAAAUAAAUGUUAUUUUAAGCCACUAAAUUUUGGUUUGUUAUAUAUUAUAGCAAUAGAAAACCAGAACCCCUUUUUUUAAUGCCACUGUUAGUUGGAUAUUCUGUUACUUGCAGCCAAAAGCAUCCUUAUGUGAAAUACUUAGUAGUAGAGAAGAUUAAAA